Molecule: small nuclear RNA, 165 nt
Organism: Molossus molossus (Pallas's mastiff bat)
Lineage: Eukaryota; Metazoa; Chordata; Mammalia; Chiroptera; Molossidae
Product: U1 spliceosomal RNA
Exons: 1
Source: RefSeq, a predicted model, not a curated record
AUACUUACCUGGCAGUGGAGAUACCAUGAUCACAAAGGUGACUUUCCCAGGGUGAAGCUUAUCCAUUGCACUCCGGAUGUGCUAACUUCUGCAGUUUCCCCAAAAUGUGGGAAACUCGACUAUAUAAUUUGUGUUAGUGGGGUACUGUGUUUGUGUUCUUCCCUG